GACGAACGCUGGCGGCGUGCUUAACACAUGCAAGUCGAACGGAAAGGCCCUGCUUUUGUGGGGUGCUCGAGUGGCGAACGGGUGAGUAACACGUGAGUAACCUGCCCUUGACUUUGGGAUAACUUCAGGAAACUGGGGCUACUACCGUAUAGGAGCUCCUGCUGCAUGGUGGGGGUUGGAUCGUUUCGGCGGUUGGGGAUGGACUCGCGGCUUAUCAGCUUGUUGGUGGGGUAGUGGCUUACCAAGGCUUUGACGGGUAGCCGGCCUGAGAGGGUGACCGGCCACAUUGGGACUGAGAUACGGCCCAGACUCCUACGGGAGGCAGCAGUGGGGAAUAUUGCACAAUGGGCGGAAGCGUGAGGCAGCAACGCCGCGUGCGGGAUGACGGCCUGCGGGUUGUAAACCGCUUUCGCCUGUGACGAAGCGUGAGUGACGGUAAUGGGUAAAGAAGCACCGGCUAACUACGUG
This 468-nucleotide ribosomal RNA is filed under the name uncultured bacterium. RNAcentral describes it as "partial 16S ribosomal RNA". It matches the Rfam family "Bacterial small subunit ribosomal RNA", at positions 28 to 507 of the family's 1533-position model. The record is from RNAcentral.